CCCGCCGUCGAUCACGAGAUCGAGCUGCUUUUCGAGCCGCUCGCGGAUCUCCUCCGGAUCGUUCAACGGUUCGGUUUCAUCCGGCAGAA
This 89-nucleotide transfer RNA is filed under the name Pandoraea pneumonica. RNAcentral describes it as "Pandoraea sp. LMG 31114 tRNA-Glu". The record is from RNAcentral. Lineage: Bacteria; Pseudomonadati; Pseudomonadota; Betaproteobacteria; Burkholderiales; Burkholderiaceae.